CGAGGAUUUGCACAUGGGGGAACCUGAUGCAGCUAUACCGCGUGUGUGAUGAAGGUCUUAGGAUUGUAAAACACUUUCAGCAAGGGAAAAAAUUAUAUAAAUAAUACUUAUAUUAACUGAUAUUACCUGCAAAAGAAGUACCGGCUAACUCCGUGCCAGCAGCCGCGGUAAUACGGAGGGUACAAGCGUUAAUCGGAAUUAUUGGGCGUAAAGAGUACGUAGGUGGUAUAUUAAGUCAGAUGUGAAAUACUUAAGCUUAACUUAAGAACUGCAUUUGAAACUAAUAAACUAGAGUUUUAUAGAGGGGAGUAGAAUUCCAAGUGUAGCGGUGAAAUGCGUAGAUAUUUGGAGGAAUACCAGAGGCGAAGGCGACUCCCUGGGUAAUAACUGACACUGAGGUACGAAAGCUUGGGGAGCAAACAGGAUUAGAUACCCUGGUAGUCCAUGCUGUAAACGAUGUCAAUUUGAAGAUUGUAAUAUUAUUAUUUUUUAUAAUUUUCGUAGCUAACGCAUUAAAUUGACCGCCUGGGGAUUACGACCGCAAGGUUAAAACUCAAAUGAAUUGACGGGGACCCGCACAAGCGGUGGAGCAUGUGGUUUAAUUCGAUACAACGCGAAAAACUUACCUACUCUUGAACAUCUAUAACGUAUAAACGCGACACUGGUUUCACGUCAUCUUGUUGGACCGGACUCUUAAGACACGGUGCUUGCUGGGCUGUCGUCAGCUUCGUU
This 732-nucleotide ribosomal RNA is filed under the name endosymbiont of Sphenophorus levis. RNAcentral's name for it is "bacterial SSU rRNA". It matches the Rfam family "Bacterial small subunit ribosomal RNA", at positions 356 to 1065 of the family's 1533-position model. The record is from RNAcentral. Lineage: Bacteria; Pseudomonadati; Pseudomonadota; Gammaproteobacteria.